GGAAGCAAGGGUGAUCUGGUUGUGACAGUUGUCACCCCAUUGAUCUCCAGUGUUGACUGAGCUGAUUUGGCCAGCUGGGGGUGGCAUGAUGUCCCUUUCCUCUUCACUCCAGGUACAGUCCUCUCAGAGCUGUGCACUCGAUGGGAGAGGAGCACCAUCUCUGAUAGAGGACUGUUCUUUGGUCAACGGUGUGUGAGUAGCUGCCCUUCCCUGCUCGAACCUCCAAACAAGCUCUCAAGGUCCAUUGAUAGUCAAGCUUCUAAGACUUCCCUGCAGACUUGAUUUAGAGUCCUGUAUUGAGUCUCUAUCCAU
Molecule: small nuclear RNA, 312 nt
Filed under: Canis lupus familiaris (dog)
Lineage: Eukaryota; Metazoa; Chordata; Mammalia; Carnivora; Canidae
Also listed under: 1 other name
Description: 7SK RNA
Rfam family: 7SK RNA
About the family: 7SK was discovered as an abundant small nuclear RNA in the mid-70s but a possible function has only recently been suggested. Two independent studies have found that 7SK RNA binds the CDK9/cyclin T complex (known as elongation factor P-TEFb).
Source: Rfam by way of RNAcentral